This 253-nucleotide ribosomal RNA is filed under the name uncultured bacterium. RNAcentral's name for it is "partial 16S ribosomal RNA". It matches the Rfam family "Bacterial small subunit ribosomal RNA", at positions 524 to 776 of the family's 1533-position model. The record is from RNAcentral.
UACGGAGGGAGCUAGCGUUGUUCGGAAUUACUGGGCGUAAAGAGCUCGUAGGUGGUUUGUCGCGUUGUUCGUGAAAACUCACAGCUUAACUGUGGGCGUGCGGGCGAUACGGGCAGACUGGAGUACUGCAGGGGAGACUGGAAUUCCUGGUGUAGCGGUGGAAUGCGCAGAUAUCAGGAGGAACACCGGUGGCGAAGGCGGGUCUCUGGGCCGUAACUGACGCUGAGGUGCGAAAGCGUGGGGAGCAAACAGG